GAAAAAGGUGAAGGUGUUUGUUGAAAUUGUUUCUUUUUUCCUUUUGAGGAAGAGGAAUGUUGAAACAUGAAGACUUCAAUGGGUUUUGGAGUUUGGGUUUCAUUUUCAGGUAAUCUAGUAAGGAUAUCUGCAAGAACAUUAUCCUUGCCUUUAAUGUGUACAACCUCAAAGGAGAAUCUGGAAAACCAUCUUGCCCAUCUAAGAAGUUGUGAAUGUGGAACUUUUUUCUGUUUAAACUUGAGCAUUUUUGGAAAAGAUGACAUAUCCAUCUCAACAAGGAAAUGAUAUCCUGUUAAAUGAAAUUGGAAUUUAGUAAUUCCAUAUUUCACAGCAGGAAUUUCCUUAAAGGUAGAAUGAUAAUGGAUUUCUGCAUCUGUAAAUCUUCCACUCUUAUAUCCGCAAAGUCGUAUUUUUCCAUUUUUUUUCUUCAAAGAGUAUUGCUCCCCAGUAUCUGUCACUUGCAUCAGUCUGCAAAAUUCUUUUGUCACUGAAUGGGAUCUGUAGUGGUGGCAAACAUGCUGUUUUCUCCUUGAUCUGUCGGACAGCUUUUGUUUGUUUGGACUUCCAGGGAGGUGGAUCUUUUUUUAGCAUCUUUCUCAAAGGAUUUGUUAAUUUGGCUAUCUUGGGAACAAAAUCCCUAAGAUAAUUAACUAUCCCAAGAAAUUGUUGAACUUGUUUCUAGGUGAGGUUUUUGUCAGGAAAUUUCUUCAAUUCUUCUGCAAUGUUUGGAUUUGGCUGAUAUCUUCCAUCUUUGAUGAUCAUUCCAAGAAACUCAAUCUCCUGCUUGUUGAUCUGCAUCUUCUUUUCAGAAAGCAUUAUUCCAAAAUUAAGAAUAAUUUGCUGAAACUUGUUGAGGAGAAUAGCAUUAUUCCACUCUUAUAUCCGCAAAGUCGUCUUUUUCUAUUUUUUAUUUCAAAGGUAGUUCUUGUGUUACAACUGACACUUCUCCAUCCUUAUAUAGAGAAGGAUUGAGAUAAGCAGAUAAGAAGGAAUAUGCUUUUACACCACUCAUUAAAGCAAACAACAUGACUCAGCAUAUUUUACCAAAGUAAAGAGACACAACUAGAAGUAGAUAAGGAGGAAUCUGCUUUAUCUACUUUUAUACUAUUGGCACGUCUGUAUCUGUGUCAUAAUCUGUGUCAAUAUCAGAAGUAAUAUUGAGUUUCUCUAUUUUCUGUCUUUUCUUUUCACGGGCUCUGUAACUCCUAAGCUCCAACCUUUCAAUUCUUCUUUCCAGGUCAUCUGGUGGUAUCACAUCAUCAUUAUUGCUUUUGGGAAGUGGAGCUUUUGAAACACUUGGUCCUUUUUCACUUGGUCCCUCUUCAUGUAUAUCUUUCCAGAUAUGUGUGCCUUGAAUUAUCUGGCUGCAAUGCAUGGGAUAAUCUUGAGACCAUUCUUUUGGAUCUGGUAUGUUGGACCAAUAUUCAUUCAGGGCUUCUUUCAAUUGGUUCUGAUAGGGUGUCGGUGGAUUCCUUUGAACAUCCCAUGGUGCUGAUGACUCUCCCGAGGGCCAUAUUUCUGAAGGAAUAAUCUUGUUGAUCUGACACAGAUAUUUUUGUAGCUUCUUGAGAUCAAAAGGAUUCUCAUAAACCUCUUCAAAGUAUGUUUUAUGGAUCCAGGAGCUAGGAAGGGAGGCUAAUUGUGUUGCUGGUCCAUUUUACAUGAAGUAUUGAGGUUUAUAGAAAAUGAUUACUAUCCACUGGAUACGGGUAUUUUUGAGAAACUCAAACAUGAGCAUAUCUACCCAAUAUUCUAAAAGAUAGAACCAUUUUUAAAAUGUGGCCAGGUUUUUCAUCUCAGGAGCUUCUUCAUUGCGGACUGCCAUUGUUAAGAAGUGUUGGAGGUCAGGCAUAAAGAACUCAAUCCCUAUGUGAAAGAGAUGAGUUAAAUACCGGAACAUCCAUUUUAAUUCUUCAGGAAACUCACCAAACUGGAACUUGAUUGGGUUUAUAAAUGGGUAAUCAGGAUGUAGGCCUAAAGGCUUAAGAAAUAAUCCUCCGAAAUUCCUAAAGACGUCUAAUUGAUAAGAAAGCAUCAUGUUCAUGGCUUCUUUAUGGAAUUUCUUUUCUAGGAUUAGACUUAAAACUUCUGGAGGGUGUUCUGGAUGGGAAUUUGGUUUACAGGGAAGGGAAAAAGGUGAAGGUGUUUGUUGAAAUUGUUUCUUUUUUCUUUUUGAGGAAGAGGAAGGUUGAAACAUGAAGACUUCAAUGGGUUUUGGAGUUUGGGUUUCAUUUUCAGGUAAUCUAGUAAGGAUAUCUGCAAGAACAUUAUCCUUGCCUUUAAUGUGUACAACCUCAAAGGAGAAUCUGGAAAACCAUUCUGCCCAUCUAAGAAGUUGUGAAUGUGGAACUUUCUUCUGUUUA
Molecule: long non-coding RNA, 2363 nt
Filed under: Gossypium barbadense (sea-island cotton)
Lineage: Eukaryota; Viridiplantae; Streptophyta; Magnoliopsida; Malvales; Malvaceae
Description: long non-coding RNA (GBAR_LNC018866)
Source: RNAcentral